AACGAACGCUGGCGGCAUGCCUAACACAUGCAAGUCGAACGAGACCUUCGGGUCUAGUGGCGCACGGGUGCGUAACGCGUGGGAACCUGCCCUUAGGUUCGGAAUAACUCCCCGAAAGGGGUGCUAAUACCGGAUAAUGUCUUCGGACCAAAGAUUUAUCGCCUUUGGAUGGGCCCGCGUUGGAUUAGCUAGUUGGUAGGGUAAAAGCCUACCAAGGCGACGAUCCAUAGCUGGUCUGAGAGGAUGAUCAGCCACACUGGGACUGAGACACGGCCCAGACUCCUACGGGAGGCAGCAGUGGGGAAUAUUGGACAGUGGGCGAAAGCCUGAUCCAGCAAGGCCGCGUGAGUGAUGAAGGCCUUAGGGUUGUAAAGCUCUUUUACCCGGGAUGAUAAUGACAGUACCGGGAGAAUAAGCUCCGGCUAACUCCGUG
RNAcentral lists this ribosomal RNA (433 nucleotides) under uncultured bacterium. Its description in RNAcentral is "partial 16S ribosomal RNA". It matches the Rfam family "Bacterial small subunit ribosomal RNA", at positions 29 to 507 of the family's 1533-position model. The record is from RNAcentral.